Molecule: transfer RNA, 69 nt
Filed under: Centrolene aff. savagei MAR 1152
Lineage: Eukaryota; Metazoa; Chordata; Amphibia; Anura; Centrolenidae
Description: tRNA-Val
Rfam family: tRNA
About the family: Transfer RNA (tRNA) molecules are approximately 80 nucleotides in length.
Source: RNAcentral
CGAAGUGUAGCUUAAACAAAGCAUCUCGCUUACACCGAAAAAAUGUCUGUGAAACCCGGACCCCUUCGA